RNAcentral lists this ribosomal RNA (254 nucleotides) under uncultured bacterium. RNAcentral describes it as "partial 16S ribosomal RNA". It matches the Rfam family "Bacterial small subunit ribosomal RNA", at positions 524 to 776 of the family's 1533-position model. The record is from RNAcentral.
UACGGGGGGAGCAAGCGUUGUUCGGAUUUACUGGGCGUAAAGGGCGCGUAGGCGGCCAGCACAAGUCAGUUGUGAAAUCUCCGAGCUUAACUCGGAAAGGUCAACUGAUACUGUGCGGCUAGAGUGCAGAAGGGGCAACUGGAAUUCUCGGUGUAGCGGUGAAAUGCGUAGAUAUCGGGAGGAACCUCGAAAGCGAAGGCAGCCGGCUAGACGAUGAUUGACGCUGAGGGACGAUAGCGUGGGUAGCAAACAGG